AUUGUUCCUAUAUAGUAUCAGAUAAAUUUGGAAUGGUACAUAGAGGAUUAGCAUGGCUCCUGCAGAAGGAUGGCUUACAAAUGCCACUAUCUGAACUCUUUUAU
Small nuclear RNA from Camellia sinensis, 104 nucleotides. The record is from RefSeq and is a predicted model, not a curated record. NCBI's taxonomy places the organism in Eukaryota, Viridiplantae, Streptophyta, Magnoliopsida, Ericales, Theaceae.